Molecule: ribosomal RNA, 253 nt
Filed under: uncultured bacterium
Lineage: Bacteria
Description: partial 16S ribosomal RNA
Rfam family: Bacterial small subunit ribosomal RNA
Source: RNAcentral
UACGUAGGGUGCUAGCGUUGUCCGGAUUUAUUGGGCGUAAAGAGCGUGUAGGCGGCCUGAAAGGUCAGCUGUGAAAACUCGAGGCUCAACCUCGAGACGCCGAUGGAAACCAUCAGACUAGAGUCCGGAAGAGGAGAGUGGAAUUCCUGGUGUAGCGGUGAAAUGCGCAGAUAUCAGGAAGAACACCCGUGGCUAAGGCGGCUCUCUAGUACGGUACUGACGCUGAGACGCGAAAGCGUGGGGAGCGAACAGG